UUCAACAUAUAAGAAGGGUGUGAAAAGAGCUUCCAUGGGCUUGUGGCCCAAACCACAUUACAAGACCAAAAGAGAGGGUAAUGGUUCAGUAGUGUGGUCACUUUAACCUCACGUGUUCAGAUCAAUGUGUUUCACCUUAAAAUAACUUUGGCCAGAGUUCCUUAGCUCCGCCACGCCGGAAAUCAGCUCCGGCGGCGGCAGAGUGCCAAACACCACGAACCUUAUAUCAUACUCCUUAGUUCACUCCCCUCUUUCUCCCUAUCAUGUUCGUUUCCCCUAAAUCCAAAUCUAUCAAUGAAAUCG
RNAcentral lists this long non-coding RNA (303 nucleotides) under Lathyrus oleraceus (garden pea). Its description in RNAcentral is "Pisum sativum (pea) long non-coding RNA (PSAT_LNC038484)". The record is from RNAcentral. Lineage: Eukaryota; Viridiplantae; Streptophyta; Magnoliopsida; Fabales; Fabaceae.